RNAcentral lists this ribosomal RNA (663 nucleotides) under uncultured archaeon. Its description in RNAcentral is "bacterial SSU rRNA". It matches the Rfam family "Archaeal small subunit ribosomal RNA", at positions 82 to 725 of the family's 1478-position model. The record is from RNAcentral.
CACACAGCUCAUUAACACGUGGCUAACCUGCCCUCGGGACGAGAACACCCCCGGGAAACUGGGGCUAAUUCUCGAUAGGCGAAGAAUUCUGGAAUGAGUCUUCACCCAAAAGACGCUUAGAUCAUGCUUUUAGGCGUCGCCCAAGGAUGGGGCCGCGACCGAUCAGGUUGUUGGUGAGGCAAUGGCUCACCAAGCCUUUAACCGGUGCGGGCCGUGGGAGCGGGAGCCCGGAGAUGGGCACUGAGACAAGGGCCCAGGCCCUACGGGGCGCAGCAGUCGCGAAAACUUUGCAAUAAGCGAAAGCUUGACAGGGCUAUCCCGAGUGCCAUCCGCUGAGGAAGGCUUUUACCCAGUCCAGUAAGCUGGGGGAAUAAGGAGAGGGCAAGUCUGGUGUCAGCCGCCGCGGUAAUACCAGCUCUCCGAGUGGUGUGGAUGUUUAUUGGGCCUAAAGCAUCCGUAGCUGGCUGAGUUAGUCCCCUGUUAAAUCCACCGAAUCAAUCGUUGGAUUGCGGGGGAUACUGUUCGGCUAGGGGGACGGGAGAGGCAGACGGUAUUUUCGGGGUAGGGGUGAAAUCCCAUAAUCCCGGGAAGAACACCAGUGGCGAUAUGCUGUUCUGCUAAACGCCCCCCGAAGGUGAGGGAUGAAAGCCGGGGUUUCCAACC